This 465-nucleotide ribosomal RNA is filed under the name uncultured bacterium. RNAcentral's name for it is "partial 16S ribosomal RNA". It matches the Rfam family "Bacterial small subunit ribosomal RNA", at positions 28 to 507 of the family's 1533-position model. The record is from RNAcentral.
GACGAACGCUGGCGGCGUGCUUAACACAUGCAAGUCGAACGGAAAGGCCCCUUUGGGGGUACUCGAGUGGCGCACGGGUGAGUAACACGUGAGUAACCUGCCCUUGACUUCGGGAUAACUUCAGGAAACUGGGGCUAAUACCGGAUAGGAAUCCUUGCUGCAUGGUGGGGGUUGGAAAGCUUCGGCGGUUUUGGAUGGACUCGCGGCUUAUCAGCUUGUUGGUGGGGUAGUGGCUUACCAAGGCUUUGACGGGUAGCCGGCCUGAGAGGGCGACCGGCCACAUUGGGACUGAGAGACGGCCCAGACUCCGACGGGAGGCAGCAGUGGGGAAUAUUGCACAAUGGGCGGAAGCCUGAUGCAGCAACGCCGCGGGCGGGAUGACGGCCUUCGGGUUGUAAACCGCUUUCAGCAGGGGCGAAGCUUGUGGUGACGGUACCUGCAGAAGAAGCACCGGCUAACUACGUG